CUUGGUCAUUUAGAGGAAGUAAAAGUCGUAACAAGGUCUCCGUAGGUGAACCUGCGGAGGGAUCAUUACAGAGUGUCAAAACUCCAAACCCACUGUGAAUCUACUCUUUUAUUCCUUUGGCAGGCGGUCUCUGGGAGAGACCUUCUGAGCCGGCUUGCUGGCGCCUGCCGGAGGAACGCAAAACCACUGAAACUUUUAGUUGUCUGAGCAUAUAUAAAUAAAGUUAAAACUUUCAACAACGGAUCUCUUGGUUCUGGCAUCGAUGAAGAACGCAGCGAAAUGCGAUAAGUAAUGUGAAUUGCAGAAUUCAACGAAUCAUCGAAUCUUUGAACGCAUAUUGCGCCCAUUGGUAUUCCGAUGGGCAUGCCUGUUCGAGCGUCAUUUCACCCCUCAAGUAUCUCAUACUUGGUGUUGGAGCUCUCUAUAGUGGUAACGCUAUAGGCUCUGAAAGCAAUCGGCGGGCGCUUAGUGAACCCGGACGUAGUAAAACUACUUUUCGUUCAGGGCCUUCUGUAAACUUCUAGCCGUUAAGCACCCAAAACUUUUACAAGUUGACCUCGGAUCAGGUAGGAAUACCCGCUGAACUUAAGCAUAUCAAUAAGCGGAGA
This 608-nucleotide ribosomal RNA is filed under the name uncultured fungus. RNAcentral's name for it is "eukaryotic LSU rRNA". The stretch from base 228 to 381 matches the Rfam family "5.8S ribosomal RNA". The record is from RNAcentral. Lineage: Eukaryota; Fungi.